GAUGAACGCUGGCGGCGUGCCUAAUACAUGCAAGUCGAGCGAACAGAUAAGGAGCUUGCUCCUUUGGCGUUAGCGGCGGACGGGUGAGUAACACGUGGGUAACCUACCUAUAAGACUGGGAUAACUUCGGGAAACCGGAGCUAAUACCGGAUAACAUUUGGAACCGCAUGGUUCUAAAGUGAAAGAUGGUUUUGCUAUCACUUAUAGAUGGACCCGCGCCGUAUUAGCUAGUUGGUAAGGUAACGGCUUACCAAGGCGACGAUACGUAGCCGACCUGAGAGGGUGAUCGGCCACACUGGAACUGAGACACGGUCCAGACUCCUACGGGAGGCAGCAGUAGGGAAUCUUCCGCAAUGGGCGAAAGCCUGACGGAGCAACGCCGCGUGAGUGAUGAAGGGUUUCGGCUCGUAAAACUCUGUUAUUAGGGAAGAACAAAUGUGUAAGUAACUGUGCACGUCUUGACGGUACCUAAUCAGAAGGCCACGGCUAACUACGUG
This 497-nucleotide ribosomal RNA is filed under the name uncultured bacterium. Its description in RNAcentral is "partial 16S ribosomal RNA". It matches the Rfam family "Bacterial small subunit ribosomal RNA", at positions 28 to 507 of the family's 1533-position model. The record is from RNAcentral.